GCUCGUAGUUGGAUUUCGGGAUGGGCCAGUCGGUCUGCCGUAAGGUAUGUUACUGGCUGGUCUGUCCUUCUUCGCAAAGACUGCGUGUGCCCUUAAUUGUGUGUGCGUAGGAUUUGCGACGUUUACUUUGAAAAAAUUAGAGUGUUCAAAGCAGGCUGACCGCUUGAAUACAUGAGCAUGGAAUAAUGGAAUAGGACUUUGGUUCUAUUUUGUUGGUUUCUUGAACCGAAGUAAUGAUUAAGAGGGACAGUUGGGGGCAUUCGUAUUUCGUUGUCAGAGGUGAAAUUCUUGGAUUUACGAAAGACGAACAACUGCGAAAGCAUUUGCCAAGAAUGUUUUCAUUAAUCAAGAACGAAAGUUAGAGGCUCGAAGACGAUCAGAUACCGUCCUAGUUCUAACCAUAAACGAUGCCGACUAGGGAUCAGCGGGCGUUAUUUUAUGACCCCGUUGGCACCUUAUGGGAAACCAAAGUUUUUGGGUUCCGGGGGAAGUAUGGUUGCAAAGCUGAAACUUAAAGGAAUUGACGGAAGGGCACCACCAGGAGUGGAGCCUGCG
This 555-nucleotide ribosomal RNA is filed under the name Cyanea capillata. RNAcentral's name for it is "SSU rRNA". It matches the Rfam family "Eukaryotic small subunit ribosomal RNA", at positions 626 to 1187 of the family's 1831-position model. Lineage: Eukaryota; Metazoa; Cnidaria; Scyphozoa; Semaeostomeae; Cyaneidae. The record is from RNAcentral.